RNAcentral lists this ribosomal RNA (471 nucleotides) under uncultured soil bacterium. RNAcentral describes it as "bacterial SSU rRNA". It matches the Rfam family "Bacterial small subunit ribosomal RNA", at positions 26 to 518 of the family's 1533-position model. The record is from RNAcentral.
AGAACGAACGCUGGCGGCAUGCCUAAUACAUGCAAGUCGAACGAAGGCUUCGGCCUUAGUGGCGCACGGGUGCGUAACGCGUGGGAAUCUGCCCCUUGGUUCGGAAUAACAGUUGGAAACGACUGCUAAUACCGGAUGAUGACGAAAGUCCAAAGAUUUAUCGCCAAGGGAUGAGCCCGCGUAGGAUUAGCUAGUUGGUGAGGUAAAGGCUCACCAAGGCGACGAUCCUUAGCUGGUCUGAGAGGAUGAUCAGCCACACUGGGACUGAGACACGGCCCAGACUCCUACGGGAGGCAGCAGUAGGGAAUAUUGGACAAUGGGCGAAAGCCUGAUCCAGCCAUGCCGCGUGUGUGAAGAAGGUCUUCGGAUUGUAAAGCACUUUAAGUUGGGAGGAAGGUUGUAAACCUAAUACGUUGCAACUUUGACGUUACCGACAGAAUAAGCACCGGCUAACUUCGUGCCAGCAGCCGC